RNAcentral lists this unclassified non-coding RNA (385 nucleotides) under Hevea brasiliensis (rubber tree). The record is from RNAcentral. Lineage: Eukaryota; Viridiplantae; Streptophyta; Magnoliopsida; Malpighiales; Euphorbiaceae.
UUGGAUUUGUGUCUCAAGUGAAAAUAAUAAAAGUUCAACGUAUAUUGAAGGCAACUAGUUUCUGAGUUCAACUAAAAUUUACCCAAUUAUUGUUGCUCAUAUCAAUAGCAUUUAAGUAGACUUGUGAAUUAUUGAGAAUUUUGGUUGCUGGAUUUGUCUGUUUGUGGAUAGGAAUAUUGGGCUUCCAUUACAGGAGAUAAUUUUUUUUCACAUCCAUAAUGCUGAUUGGAAUUUCUGUUGAGAAUUUUAAAUGUAACAGGAAAAUGAAACAAUAAGCCUGUUACGUCUUGGUUUGAAGACUUCUGAUAACUGUUUGGUACAAAUUCACAUUCCCUGUUCCAAUUGGUUCUUGUCUUGGCAGGUUGAUUAUUUUAUUGAUUGUCAU